UGGGGAAUAUUGGGCAAUGGGCGAAAGCCUGACCCAGCGACGCCGCGUGAGGGAAGACGGUCUUCGGAUUGUAAACCUUAGUCAACAGGGAAGAAGCAAGUGACGGUACCUGUGGAGGAAGCCACGGCUAACUACGUGCCAGCAGCCGCGGUAAUACGUAGGUGGCGAGCGUUAUCCGGAUUUACUGGGUGUAAAGGGUGUGUAGGCGGGAAGGCAAGUCAGGCGUGAAAAUUACGGGCUCAACUCGUAACCUGCGCUUGAAACUGUUUUUCUUGAGAGUCGGAGAGGUAAAUGGAAUUCCCAGUGUAGCGGUGAAAUGCGUAGAUAUUGGGAGGAACACCAGUGGCGAAGGCGAUUUACUGGACGAUUACUGACGCUGAGACACGAAAGCGUGGGGAGCAAACAGG
Molecule: ribosomal RNA, 407 nt
Filed under: uncultured prokaryote
Also listed under: 1 other name
Description: bacterial SSU rRNA
Rfam family: Bacterial small subunit ribosomal RNA
Source: RNAcentral